Long non-coding RNA from Oncorhynchus keta (chum salmon), 957 nucleotides. RefSeq lists it as uncharacterized. NCBI's taxonomy places the organism in Eukaryota, Metazoa, Chordata, Actinopteri, Salmoniformes, Salmonidae. The record is from RefSeq and is a predicted model, not a curated record. The transcript is spliced from 4 exons.
UAUUGUCUGCGGUCGGUUAUUUGAAACCAUUCCUUUUAUAAGUCAAAUGAGCGUCAAAAUAAAAUGCAUGACAAUUCAUUUUGAUGCAUUGGUGCAUCUCAUUUCAAUUACGCUAAUUGAGCGUAAGACAACCAGACAAGGUUACUAAACGUUUUAUUUGACCUUUAUUUUACCAAGCUAUCCCAUUUUUCAAGGGAGAACAUGGGACAGAAAAAUCUAACAGAAAAUAAGAAAAAUAUACAAAAAAGCUAAAUAACCCUAUAGAGAGGAGAAACAGGUCUCCUAAAUAACCCUAUAGAGAGGAGAAACAGGUCUCCUAAAUAACCCUAUAGAGAGGAGAAACAGGUCUCCUAAAUAACCCUAUAGAGAGGAGAAACAGGUCUCCUAAAUAACCCUAUAGAGAGGAGAAACAGGUCUCCUAAAUAACCCUAUAGAGAGGAGAAACAGGUCUCCUAAAUAACUCUAUAGAGAGGAGAAACAGGUCUCCUAAAUAACCCUAUAGAGAGGAGAAACAGGUCUCCUAAAUAACCCUAUAGAGAGGAGAAACAGGUCUCCUAAAUAACCCUAUAGAGAGGAGAAACAGGUCUCCUAAAUAACCCUAUAGAGAGGAGAAACAGGUCUCCUAAAUAACCCUAUAGAGAGGAGAAACAGGUCUCCUAAAUAACCCUAUAGAGAGGAGAAACAGGUCUCCUAAAUAACCCUAUAGAGAGGAGAAACAGGUCUCCUAAAUAACCCUAUAGAGAGGAGAAACAGGUCUCCUAAAUAACCCUAUAGAGAGGAGAAACAGGUCUCCUAAAACACUGCACAUGCCCAGAAGCUGCUGUAUGAAUUAACUAUUAAUCUCCUAUCUGCUCCUAUCUGCUCUCUCAAUCUCUGCUCACUCUCUCUUCCUCUCUCUCCCCCUCUUUCUCUCUCUUUUUAUUUUUAUAUCUAUCCUUUCAAUCUCUCUCACACACA